Molecule: long non-coding RNA, 3174 nt
Organism: Bacillus rossius redtenbacheri
Lineage: Eukaryota; Metazoa; Arthropoda; Insecta; Phasmatodea; Bacillidae
Exons: 2
Source: RefSeq, a predicted model, not a curated record
AUUCCUUACAAAACACUUAAAAGGUUUUGUUUUUAUCAACAGCAUACUUAUUUUGUAGCAUGACUUUUAAUUUGACAGAUUUUUAGUAUAGUCUCUAUUCCGUGUUAUUCCUACUGACCGCAGCUAUUGCAUUGUCGAUGCUUUCUUCACUGCAGUCGUGAAAGACCCUUGGUGUAUUACACACAUUUCUCUUUAGAAACUGCCAAUAAGUUUUAAUUAUUCAAAUUCCUACUCGGUUCAACACUUGGCGUUUUAAUUAAAUUGGCUUUACAACAAAUAUUAAAGUAGAUUUACAUUUUUAAUAUGUUUGUUGUAAAAUUAUGUGUGGUGUUAACAUUUCAGUUUCGAUUUAAGUUCGGAAUAAAAUAAUGUGUAUUUCAAUACUUUCUUGGUGAUAUUUUUGUGUAGAAUCAGUUAUGACUAUUUAAUGUGUUAAAAAAAGAAUUCAUUGAUUAACUUACUAUUUUAUUACUGCAUGGUUGCACCGGAACGUGGCGCACAUGUGCUUUUGAAUUAUGAUAUAUUAUAGUUCUCACAAGUUAACAUCACUUUUGAAUGAUAACCCAGUCCAUCUGUUAUUAUUACCACAUUUCUGCAGCAAUAAUUAAAUAAAGUUGAAUUUAAAAACUAAAUAUAAGAAAUUGUUCGAUUUUUACAUUCAUUUUGAUAUCAGUUAUUUGUACUGCUUCUUUAAAGAAAACAUGCUAAAUCUGAUCCAACCAUACAACUUACUUAGUCCCACACCUUUUUCAUUAAAAAAAUCUGGUAUAAAAAUUAAAAAAUAAAGAAUUAUACAACUAAUUUAUUUAAUAAAUGUUUUACAAGUAUGUUUAUACUUUACGUAAGAUAAAGUAAAUUUCUUAGUUACUCGUGUCAAAAGUAAUAUACAUUCAGUGUAAGUUUUAGUCACAGCGUCAGAAAAGCAUAGUGUAAUAUUAGCCUAACAACUGCAAGCGUGCAAGGACAUUAUAUAUAUAUACAUACAUAUUGUCACGGUCUGAAAAUUUCAUUACUUUUUUUUUAAAUUUUAUAUUACUUUUGUUUCUCGUCAGGUUUACGUGUUGGUGUACGUGCACGUUUCCAGGCUCGGCCGGUUGAUUUUGACACGCGGGUAUGGGAAUAUAGGUUGCUGCGACAUUAGUUUACAGGCACCGCGGGCUUUUGCGAGGCUGCGUGGUUAGCUAAUUCUCGCAGGUAGCUGGCCAGGGCCUGCUGAGAGGUUGCAACACGCCGUUCCAGAAAAACCCGCUGCGCUACGCUAGUCUUUUGUUUGUCGUUCUGUGUAUGUUCUGCAACGCGAAGCCUUUGUGGACGCGUUUCGAGGACUCUGUCCUGAUUAGUGAUGCCAUCUUGCGUCCGAGUUUGGAAACGUAGACGGAAAAAUAACAAUCGAGCAGCGCAAGAGGGAGAGGGGGAAACUCGCUCGCGCCUGCGCGGAAGGAAUAGCUGUCUUCACUUGUUUUUUUAUUUUUUUCCUUGUGGGAAGGGAGGGGACCGCGAGUUGCCCUGUGGAUAAGUUUCCCCGGUGUUGGUGUUUCUUUUUUUUUCCGGCUUGGCCCAGUUUUGUGUUUAAAACCUCCUUCCAGGGAGGGGCCGAGGCUUUUUGCCUGGGGACCUCUCUGGAAGCCGAGUCCACGUCGGUUUGAAACAACUUUGCUUCGCCUCAAGUCAGAAGGUUUCACUGGGGAGACAUCCCCGAUGACAUGCUGCGAGGAAGGCAGGCUGAGGGCAGAACUGCUCUGAAGGCUGGAUCCUGGGUGUGAGCUGCAGAUCACACUUCAAGGACUCUUCUCUCCAGCUUCAACUAGGGCUGAUCUGUCCACGGUUCAUGCCUCUCCUAGUUGUAUGUCGUACGAGUAGUUUUACGAUGUGCCAGCCACCAUCGAUUCUUACCGGAAAGAAUUGUUUCCUGGGCUAUUUUGUAUUUUGUAUUGGUUUAACUUUUUCAGUUUAGACUUUGAAUGUAAUUGUUGUGGUAAAACCUAACCUUCGUGCGCUGUCUUGUUCUAGUAGGCAUUUAACUUGUAAUUCUUUGCCCCUUGUUUAUUCAUUGUUAGGAAUUUUUAUGGCUUGUGGGGCACAAGCUCUUGUAGACCGGGGUAAUGUCACGGUCUGAAAAUUUCAUUACUUUUUUUUUAAAUUUUAUUUUACUUUUGUUUCUCGUCAGGUUUACGUGUUGGUGUACGUGCACGUUUCCAGGCUCGGCCGGUUGAUUUCGACACGCGGGUAUGGGAAUAUAGGUUGCUGCGACAUUAGUUUACAGGCACCGCGGGCUUUUGCGAGGCUGCGUGGUUAGCUAAUUCUCGCAGGUAGCUGGCCAGGGCCUGCUGAGAGGUUGCAACACGCCGUUCCAGAAAAACCCGCUGCGCUACGCUAGUCUUUUGUUUGUCGUUCUGUGUAUGUUCUGCAACGCGAAGCCUUUGUGGACGCGUUUCGAGGACUCUGUCCUGAUUAGUGAUGCCAUCUUGCGUCCGAGUUUGGAAACGUAGACGGAAAAAUAACAAUCGAGCAGCGCAAGAGGGAGAGGGGGAAACUCGCUCGCGCCUGCGCGGAAGGAAUAGCUGUCUUCACUUGUUUUUUUAUUUUUUUCCUUGUGGGAAGGGAGGGGACCGCGAGUUGCCCUGUGGAUAAGUUUCCCCGGUGUUGGUGUUUCUUUUUUUUUCCGGCUUGGCCCAGUUUUGUGUUUAAAACCUCCUUCCAGGGAGGGGCCGAGGCUUUUUGCCUGGGGACCUCUCUGGAAGCCGAGUCCACGUCGGUUUGAAACAACUUUGCUUCGCCUCAAGUCAGAAGGGUAAGUGGUUUGUCAUGGCUCGUUCGCCACGAUCAUUUCUUGGACGAUCUUCGUCUUAAUCUUUUAAGUAAUAAUGUAGUAUUGUUCCACCUCUAUUAUUUAUUAUUUGGUUUUUGGGAAAAAUCGACGUCUGGUUAUAAGCAUGCAGGUAGUGGUAACUGGGAAGUGUUCUGUUCCUUAGCAGCGCUGGCGCGACGACGGCCAUGUUGAAGAGAUAAUUGUUUGCCGGCGGACGUCACUUUAAUGUGUAUUUAAUGUAUUUAUUUAUUCAUUAAUCCCAUCCCAUUGUAAAAUGCUUUAUUAUUAAUUUGUUAAUCAAAUAUUUGGUUGAUUAUUAUUAUUUUUUUUAUUAUCCUAGUGAAUAAAAUCUGUGCUUGAAUGAA